CUUAAGCAGGAGUUCACGUUAGGCUAUCUCUCAGGCGCUGGGAUGUGCCUCCUGCCUGGGAGCACACAGCUAAUAAGCUAAUUAAAACAAACCUAGUUAAUUUUGUAUGACUUGGUAUAAUUAAGUAAAUAUGUAUUAAUGAAUUAAGGGCCUUGUACAAAAAAUAAGAUGUAAGAAAGGUAAACUGAUGCUGACUGAGAGAGCACCAGCAUUGACUUAAUGAGCAAUGCCUGCUUGGAGUAGACAGUUUACAUGAAUUCUGUCUCAGACGACAUCUUUGUUGUGGUCACAGGGAAAAAUGCAACAGUCGUCAUUUACACAGUUAUAGUUUUCACCAGAGCCGUCUAAUCAGAGUCGCGACAACGGAAGUCCAAAAUGCAGACUCCGGAUUGUUCCCGGAAGUUCCUGGCGCGCAAUUCGAAUCCAUUAUUCAGAGCCACAGAAGUGCGAUUUUAGGUAAGUAGUAGUCAAUGAAUGUAUCGAUUUACAAUAUGGCAGACCGACAUGCCUAUGCAGUUGCUCUAUUUAGUGAGUGAAUACGUUUUUUUAAAUCAUAAAUAAAUCAUAAAUCAUAAUCCACUACAAUGCUUUUAAUGCGCACUUGGAUCUGUUUCAGAUGUGCUGAUAAUAUACAAUCUGAUUCUUUAAACGUCUUACCCUUCCUAAGUGCAACACCAGACGGUCCGUUGAUCCAUUCUGCUGCUACUCUAAUGCGCUGCUGCUCACUUCCGGGAACUAUUGAGGGGCUCCAUGAUCCGACCGCUGGAGGAAAAAAAAAAAGUCCAUUGGAGUGAACGGAGGUGUCGCGACUCUAAUAAGACGGCUCUGGUUUACAUCAAUGAAUGGUGCAGAGGAGCUAUAUGCACGUAUCAACGACAGGCUGGCGGCCGAACUGACCGGCGUGGUUUGGCCACCAGCCAGCACACCUCUUUUUUGGAAAACCAUUCAGGAGGAAUUUGCACCUGUAAAUCAAGUUGUUUUUUUGUUUUUUCCCCAUGUGCCACAGUUUGAACUGUUAGGUUUAUUUAAAUGCAUGGAACCUCAAACCCCUAAUUGAUAAGUGGGAUCUUUUUGGCAAACCACACGCCAGAAUCUACAGAAUCUAUUGAAGGCUUAAUAUCACACAGUAGCUCUACUUUGUCACUUCUGUCUUGUUCCGCUGCAGAUAGUUACUCUGCCUGAAGCAGGCUGUCUGCAGCAGCCUAUAUUAAUGUUAUUGAUCAUUGUCAACUUUUGUGCUUCCGCCAGCCCUCAGAUCUCACUGUAGUAUGGUAUUUCUUUUCUUUUUUUUCCACCCUCACUAGUAAAGGUUUCUUUUUUCAUUAGUCCCUCUCCCUGUUCUUUUCCCCCAAUAACCUGUCUCCUUUAUUGCACACAGUCCUUAGAAAGUGACAACUUGGGAAACUGAAUCAAAGUUUCAAUAAAGCCUGGACUGCUGUGGGCUUUGACAAGUGAGGUGGCUGAAGUGGAACAGUACAGCCAGAGACUGAAGGAGGACAUAUCGGUUCCAGAGAGAUAAAUAGUUCAUGAAUCUGUUGACUUCGCCAUUUUAUUACUUUUGUCUCCGAAUUUUCCGCCUGCCUGCAGCUCUUUUUGCCCACGAAUUAUUCAUCGUGCGCCCCACAGGCCCCAGCUGUCAAUCUCCGGAUCUGGAGUUGGUGGGGAAGAUGGGAGUUGUACGUUUUGUCAUGAGCUCAGGUGCUUGCAUAGUUGCCAGGAUCUUUAUAACCCUAUAACAGCUACCACAAUACCAGACAAUCAUCUCAGCUUUACUUAGAAGAAAGGCAAAGCUGUGGCAGUGAAGUCUGUGAAGCUAGACAAGCCUGCUUCUUACCUAAUUUUUUUUCUUACCUUUUUUUUCCCCACUUAGAUGAUUUUGACCUUUUGUUUCUGUUCUGUUUUUAAACAGAUCCAGGUGGUGUUGUCAGGAUAAUGUAUGCUAUGCUGCAGCCCUUUUGCACAACAGCCAGUCUCACAUGCUGACCACUAGGGGCCUAACCUGAAGGUGGCAGAGCAGCUGGCCUACUACGUCCAUGUGACAGGGACGGUAAUCACAGAGGAGACAUUUGAUGUGGCCGUGCAGUUUGGCACAGUGCAGGGCGAGCUCACCCGGUGCCGUGCAGGAUGACCUGUUUUUCGUGCUGCCCCCUUGGUUGCCCCACGACACCUACUGGGAAAAGAGCAUCAAGGACAACUACACCGCCAACAUGUGCUAAUACCUCGCCAGCCUCACAGACCAAAGAGCUUCUGAAUUGCCCAGAAAACGAUGGGAUUGAAGGAUGCAGGCUGCAGGCGUCCUACAAGAGAUAGCCUUCUGGAGAAGCCGCUGUGACAAUCUGUUGGGCACAUCAGGUAGCAGCUGGAAAAGCCAGAGAAUUGCUGUUGGCAAGCACAGUCGGAAAUGUCCUUCCCAUCUAUGUUGGAACUGUGACACACUGCUGCUGCAUCAGGCUCAUUCGCAGCAUUUGGAUCAACCCCUGCCACACUACAACAGUGAUAGUUGGUCUCUUCUGCAAGAUGAGUAAUGAGAUCAUUCGCCACUGCUCCCAAAGCAUCUCUCUGGACAAGAUCUUUAAGGGCUACGUGAUCUUUGGCAAACAAAGCCCCAGCCAGCGACCGCCAGAAAUGCAGCCGCACUCGCAGAUUUACAAGGAUGUUGACAAUCAGGAGCUGGCGAUUCUUCUCCAGACGUGUUCCUGAUGUGCAGGCUGUUGGACAAUAGCUUUCAGCCUCAUCACACAACACCUUGCCUUCAUAAGCUUGCCUGUUGGGAGGAGGGUCAGCAGAGGGUCUUGCCAUGCUUUGGUGGGCGCCAGGGGCCAGAGGUGAUCCGCUGCCUUCUGAAGAUUCAUUGCAACGCUGCCUAAAGAUUCUGCACUUUGUUGGCACAGGCAUCCUUGACGUCAAAACACCACCUGGCUCAAUGAUUGCAACAGGUGACUCAGACACUCAAGCAGCUGGUGUUGGCCUGUGGCCAGAUGUUCCACGUUUAGGGGGAGCUGGUAAGGAGGCCUGGACCGACAGAGACUUCAAACAACACAGCAACGCACGAAAAAGCCAAUAGUGUUGAGGUAGAGAGAGCUGCACCAGACUGUCAUGCUGCACUGUUCACCGUUCCCUUGGCGCAGCACUGCAGUGAGCGGCAAACCAAGUUCACUCAGCAGCUGGCGCCUGCCUUAAAACACUUACAAGACAACGCAGAUGGGAAAUGACACCCGUGUCCAGAAUGUAACGUCAUGUGAUGGUUGACCACGGAUUCCACAGCUCAAAUGACAACUGUUGUCAUUGAGCUUUUUCAGGAUCAGGACACGUGUGAGGUGCUGGAUGGGGAGCGGCUAGUGUGGCUCCGGCAGGUGUUGAUUGACAGCUACGUCAUGUUAAGGAACACAAGAAGUUCAAAAAACAGCUUUGUCGUCUCUUCCUCAACAAGAAAACCAGAUCACAGAAAGUGGAGUGUGGCACAGAAGAUUUCUUCAACAACUGAACACUUCAAGAGGAUCAUCCCUUUCAGCUAUGAGACACAGGUGCUGGUACUGUAGCAGACUUGUGAUGAGUUUCACUGCUUCUUUGACCAAACCAGUGAAGAAGAUCACAUCUCUGGACCCUGGACGAAGUUGGCUGACUACAUCUGGGGGAUCUUGGGAGCAGCCAGGAAGGAGCUCGCCACAAAACAGCUCCUGGCAAAGAUCUUGUUCAGCCUCUACUCCCUGGCGGUGUGCUAGCUGUCUAAACAGGACAACUAUGAUGUUGGCCUGUGUGCCCUCACCUCUCCGCUCUGCUGUGCCAGAAAGAAGCUGUGCUCUUCUCACAGUGCGCCUGAUGAAGAGAAACCGCCAGUGGCUCUGAAGGACAUGGACGUUGCCAAGCAGACUUGUACUGACCUGCCGCCGUUCUGUGGGAUCAGCCAGGACGUGUUCCCUGCGGUGGAAACACCGAUUAUACAUUAAUGCAAGAUGAGGAACCAGAUGAGAAGUGGAUUUUGUGGAACUAUAGGGACACUAUGGUUGUUACCUCCCCAUCAUGGAUGACAACAGGGUUCUUACACUGUGAAUGGGGCAACAGACCAUAUGGGAGGCAGUCUGUCCACUCAGGUGUUCAUUCUGCACAAGGAAAAGCUUUUCCCUCCCACAGGCUGUGAAUGUGAACGUACACUUUUACAGAGACCCACUCUCACACAACAGCCCCAUUCCCUUCACAAAGGGAAUUGUGCAAUCUCAAUAUUCAGUCUCCAAUCACAGUGUGGCUGCGUCCCAUCUGAGGUCCAGUUGUGCCAGGGGGAAGUUACCAAAAAGUACAGCAAGCAUGAAUUUAAACGAGUAAAGGUUGACUGAGCACCUAGCCACACAGGGCCAGAGGGGGCAUUACGUUGACCUAAGCAGAAUCUUACGUUAAGACCCCCACCCCCUAGGUGCCUCAAAUACCUACUUGACACAUGGGAGGAGGAGGCCAAGAACAGGUGACCGUGUUCCAUAGAGAGUGUGACUAGUUCCUGUCCGUCAUUGAACAGAAGAUGGAGGCUGACCAGCAGCUGGAGGAUAGGAGCUGUAAAACAGCAAAAACAAAAUUUGACCCCACCCGGCUACCAGAGAUGUCACGUGUACGGAUGAAGGGUCUGAGGGAGGAGGACAAGGAAGGGAUCCAUCCACUAUCUACACCGCUCGUCCUGUUAAGGGUACAAACUCCACACCGAAGGAACCCGGUCGAACCCAUAAUCGUCUUGCUAUGAGGCGACAGUGCAAGCCACUGCUCCACCGUGCCACACCAAGGAAGGGAUGUGGAAGGGGAAUGAGGAGUUCGAAAAAAGAGAUGCACAGAGAAUGAGAGGACGGAGAAGAAGAAGAGACAGCAGCUGAGUUCAAGUGCUGUGGUGUCUUUGAGUUGCUGCUCAGCUUCCAAAUGCCAAGUCAACUUGGAUGAGUCCAAGGCGAUCCGUAAGAAAACACAGAACGCUCACAAACACGAUGUUCACAUCCUAUUUGAUUUUAUAUAAGCCAGCGGAACAAAUCGUUUUUCUUUUUCAAAGGCCUGGGACACACUUGGGGCCCCCAGAACACAUUUCCCUGGGAAAUCCCCAAUGUUGAACUCUGUAGAAGUUGAGCCUUUGCACGCAAACACUGCUGCUUCAUUCACACCGUUCUUUUCUGCGUCGUAGCAAUUAACAGGGACAACACCACUGUAGAGCUGGAUAAGCUGCCCAACUUCCAUCCACUUGUUUCAGGUGGCACGUUUGAGACAGGAACCUUUGCUUUGCCGCGCGGAUUGUGUUUGUUAUUGGAGGUUUUUAUUGAUUUGCCGCUGCAGUGAGAAUAUUCCUCCCACUAGUGACAAUAAAGUUAAAGUGAAGUCAAGUGGUUGAGAGAGGCAGCUUGCGUGUGCUGGUGUUUUUCAUCAGGCUCCUCCUGCUGUGUACUGAAAGUUUUCAAGGUUUCGCUCAAGUAUGACACUGACAGCUGAGAAACAACUGUAUGCUUUCCGUGUGUUUAUAUUACACCCUGGCGAUGAUGAAUAUGUGUCUUCUCCCUUUUUCUGACAACUGAGGAUCUAUUCAUGGCUGACUCACUGAAGAGAGCAGAGAGCAAUUUCUUCUCUGUCAUUUCUCCCCUGCCCUCUCCUCUCCUUUUCAUUACACCAUCCAUCCAUUUCUCCCUUCACCCCUGAAUUCCCAGCCUUUGCCCUUCCUCCCUUUCACUCCCUCUCUCUAAGGGAAUUUGAAGAAAAGCUGCAAUGAGCUGCAGAAGCUGUUGAUGGUGUACUCUGCGUCCGAGCCGCGUCUCCUUGUGCCUCACCUCGGUCAUCGUUAACAACCUCAGUACUUGCUUUGUGGAGCCCGCCCGCUCUCUGCCGCUCUACAAGCUCUCACUGGAAAACAGAAUCUCUCUAAACCCCAACACAUAGUUACUGUUAGGUUGUCAAGAAUUCACUGGCAGGACUCCUCUGAUCUGUGCUCCGUCUCCCGGGGACCGUACGGGGGCCCUGCUGCAUCUGGCUUUCUCUGUCCGGGGCCGGGGACAGGCCCCAAUCAGCAUGAGCAUGAUCGAAGAGGGCGUCAAUAACAGUACAACACCAACUGCUCUGUCUUUCUUCCCAUUUUUGUUUCUGCUCCUUUGCCGUGUUUUUUUUUUUUUCUUUUUUUCAGGCUCAAGUGUCAUUUGUUGUUGACAAAGUGCACAAAAUACUUGAUGAAUAUUUGAUUGAUUUGGUUUAUUCAGAUGAAUCUUUCACUCCCCUUAUCGACCCACGGUCUACCGGCUCUCUCAUGCUCAUCAACUUGAUUUGCAGCUGCUCCUUAUACCAGUGGAGGCCUCACUGUCAGUUUCUAUGGUUUGUUGCCUCUCCGACACGCCUCUCUGUAACUAGGGAAAUGUCACGCUUAUACAUCAAGCAAUUUGUUUGUCUGGGAAAUUCAAUUUUUAUUGUCUUUCCUCUGAUUCACUUUCACCCCUCCAUGUCCCUCUUCUAUUCCUCUGAUGCAUAACAGUUACAAUGCCUUGGGUACGAGUGGCAAAAUCCCAACAGCCAUUUUUAUACUAUACUAUAUUUUUAUGUAUCUUAUUACUUUCUCUUACCAACUGUAUUUUAACAGACUAGUGAUUAUAAAUAAGAUGCUUUGUGCAGAUUUAAUGAAGUGUUGCUGUUGAACGUACCAAGUGUGGGUUUGGUCAUCAUCCCACUAAAACCAAGCCAAAAGCCACUUUUAAAUUCUUUCCAUUUCCUUGCUUGAAAGAAAAAUGGCUAGAUUUAGAAAACAAGUCCAGGCAUGUGCAGUAACCCUUCCUCCACCUCUACACUAUAUCUAGAAACCUGAUUGAUUCAUUAGGUCUCUCAUUAAGCUCAGAUUAAAUCAAAGCUAAAACCUACCUAAGAUAAAGCGCCACAUGUCAGAAAUAAGUCAAGGCCCAAAAUAAAAACCUUCAUUCAUUAAUGUAAAUCAAAUCAUGUACAUGUAUGAAAGAAGUAAAAAUCAUUGCUGCCAUUAUCUCACACUAAAGUCUUACAGUUAAACAGCGGCAGCCAGGAGGUGGACCGCCAUCAGUCCAGUGAGGAUAUUGACGAGUGAAUGUCACCGCGAUGUGGUUGCGGUUAUUGUGGUGGUUACUGAGUAGAAUGAAUGCAUCAGUGUCAGUAAUCUGCGGUCUCUCUGCAACCGUGUCAGAGUGAAGGCCGAUGAGACUGAUGGAUAAUGACCAUCUAGCUGAAGUGCGUGAGACUGAACAGUCCUUACGGCCUUUGUUAGAAUGUCUGUUUCUGUCUUUGCUGUUCCACUUGCAUUUGAAAGUCUGUUCAAAUCCUCUUCUUCAUGCGCGCCCCCCUCAGUGAGUGAGAAGCUGCUGAGUUGGGACGCCCUGGAGUCGUCAUUGCUGGGGUCAACUGCUGUGUGGAGGUCCUGUCACAGGUGACUGGGACAGACGUCUACCCAGCCCCUCUUCAAGUGCAACACUUGUACACGUUCAGACACACAUUUGUCUGCCACAUCAUGUACCUUGUAUAGGCAUGAUGUCAUUUCUAUAUUUGUGUAAUGCAACAGUCCGUCCCUCUUCAUAUCAACUCCAACUCUGCUGCAACAUAAAUACCCACUGCAAAGGUGCUAUAUUUAAAGUGUACACAGCUUUACACAAAUUAACCAAUGUAUGUAUCUGACAUAAAAAAAAAAAAACCUUUGCUGAGAAAGCGCACUGCGGCUGCAUUCAGCCGAAAGAGGCCACUACAACUCCCUAAUGAAGACCCUCAAGGAGGCGGAGUGCUAGCACCACCACGUGGGCAAUCGGAUUACAUUAGCCUGGGAAAUACAGACACAGUGGCACCCUGAUUAACUCUGACAGGAACACUAAGUCCUUGCUUUUUUUCAUUUAAUCACUUACACUUAUCCACACGAGCGCUCGUGUCCACUAACUACAUUUCUAAGCAACCACUCUGAAAAGAUUUAAGGCUGGUGGUAUUGAGCAGAUGGAACAGUUUCUCAUUUUCAGUCGUCAGGACUUUUUUGUUUUCACUUGGUCCAGCUACAAUGAAAUGAAGUUGUGAAGCCAUAUUGAGCUCCAAAACCUCUAAAAAUGUCUAAUGUACAACCAAAAUAUUGAGAUGGAAGCAUGAUAUCUAGUUAUUGAUUUUAAUUUAUUACAUAUUUAUUUUGACUUAUUUGUACCAGAAUGAAAUAAAUGAUAAAAUAUGCAGAGCUCUUCAGUCAUUGAGGUGCAAUGAUGAAUAAAUUA
Long non-coding RNA from Scophthalmus maximus (turbot), 8210 nucleotides. RefSeq lists it as uncharacterized. NCBI's taxonomy places the organism in Eukaryota, Metazoa, Chordata, Actinopteri, Pleuronectiformes, Scophthalmidae. The transcript is spliced from 26 exons. The record is from RefSeq and is a predicted model, not a curated record.